GGAGCUCUCCUUGAUGAUCCUGUCCAGCUCACUCUUCAAGUUGUCCCGCUCCAUUUUCAGCUCCUCCAGAGACAAGUUGUAUUUGUUGACCAACGUCUCGAACAUUUCCAGCACGCGGACUAUCCUAAACUGUAAAUCCGAGACUUCUUCGCCCGUGCUGCUUAUUUUCAACAAAUCUCGCCCGAUUACAUACGAAAUGUCAUACACAUCUUCAACCGUGAGCUCAAACGCGUCCUUCUCGAAAGCCAAGGCUGGCGACGACUCUUCAACGAACUCCAUGGCGGCGAAACGAUAAAAACACCGGAAUAAAGCAAACUUUACUCUGCCAGCUACUACCAACAAAACUCUAUAAACAGCGCUUUCUUUCUUGUUGUCUUCGCUUCAACACAUUUACUGGCAGAAGGUUACUAACUUCCAGAGCAGCAGCACUUCCCCCAUCACUCACCCACCAAUGACACGACUCGUUGGACAGCAGAGAGGAGGGCAAAGUAUCCUAGAGACAGAGCUCCGGAGAGGGGAAGGACUCUUAUCACACUCAAAGCAGUUCGCCAGGAAGUCAGAGUCCCCUCCACACUCCACCCACACUGAAUCUGGUUUGAUGGAGUUGGAUGGUGAGGCGGCGGCUGCUGCUGAAGACUGGAUUGAUAAGUCCUUUUCCUUACGGUUAUCUGUGGUGAUGGAGGUGAUGACAUCCCAGAUCUGGCAAGAGAGGUUUCUUCUAUGUCAGUGACCUCUCUCUCCAGGUCCCACCCCCGGAGCUCCUUUCUCAGCCUCGUGACCUCCAGCUGCAGAGCCUCCAGCUCCUGCUGCUGUGCCUGGGCUGCAGCUUCCAGCUCAGCCCUCUGCUGGAUCAGUGCCUUGCCCUGACCCUCCAUCACCCCCAUCCUGUGACGAAGGUCCUGGUUAAUUUUUAUCAGCCGAUGCUGCUGCAUCUGGAGCUACAUGUCAGCUCGUGGUCUUUAGCCCGGAUUUCAUCCCUCUGCUUAUCCACCAAGUCUUUCAGCUUCUUCAUCACCUGACUCUCCUUCUCUGACAUUCCUGUGGUAUCAGAGAAAAAAACACAGAAAAAUGUUCAUGCAACAUCAAUGCAAUCUAACAAGAGGCUGCCACACCAUUAAACAGAAAAGUGUUUUUUCUAUUUUAGUGCGUGUGAAGGUGUGAGUCUUAAGUAUUUUCG
Molecule: long non-coding RNA, 1177 nt
Organism: Micropterus dolomieu (smallmouth bass)
Lineage: Eukaryota; Metazoa; Chordata; Actinopteri; Centrarchiformes; Centrarchidae
Exons: 4
Source: RefSeq, a predicted model, not a curated record